UACGGGGGGGGCAAGCGUUGUUCGGAAUUACUGGGCGUAAAGGGCUCGUAGGUGGCCAACUAAGUCAGACGUGAAAUCCCUCGGCUUAACCGGGGAACUGCGUCUGAUACUGGAUGGCUUGAGGUUGGGAGAGGGAUGCGGAAUUCCAGGUGUAGCGGUGAAAUGCGUAGAUAUCAGGAGGAACACCGGUGGCGAAGGCGGCUACCUGGACGACAACUGACGCUGAGACGCGAAAGCGUGGGGAGCAAACAGG
Molecule: ribosomal RNA, 253 nt
Filed under: uncultured bacterium
Lineage: Bacteria
Description: partial 16S ribosomal RNA
Rfam family: Bacterial small subunit ribosomal RNA
Source: RNAcentral